RNAcentral lists this long non-coding RNA (404 nucleotides) under Brassica napus (rape). Its description in RNAcentral is "long non-coding RNA (BNAP_LNC025927)". Lineage: Eukaryota; Viridiplantae; Streptophyta; Magnoliopsida; Brassicales; Brassicaceae. The record is from RNAcentral.
UGAGUUUGGUGAUGAGCUUGUAAUUAGCAUAAUGCUAGUUAUCUUGCUAUCGUUUACCGCUGCGUAUUUCUGAUAUUGCUUAUUGUUAUUGAAUUGUGUUGUUAGGUGAACUUCUCGCUUUAGAUUGUUUGGGGUGGGAUAGCGAGGGGUUGUAUUUGUUAGUUGUGGAUUGUAACUCGCUGAGUAAUGCUAGAUUACUCACUUCUCACUCGUUGUUGUUUCAGGUGACCAGUAGCGAGCUUGUAGAGGUCGCGGGAGGCUAGGCUGGCUGGUGUAGAUUUGCAUCUUUUUGCUUAAGACGCUUUCAGACUAUAAGUAUGUAUUUUCGCUUUCUUGGUAUGCUACUACAUGUGUAAUAUUUUGUGUGUUGAAAACCAGAUAUUAUAUAAGAUAAAUAAAGCGAU